This 495-nucleotide ribosomal RNA is filed under the name uncultured bacterium. RNAcentral's name for it is "partial 16S ribosomal RNA". It matches the Rfam family "Bacterial small subunit ribosomal RNA", at positions 28 to 507 of the family's 1533-position model. The record is from RNAcentral.
GACGAACGCUGGCGGCGUGCCUAAUACAUGCAAGUCGAACGCUGAAGGAGGAGCUUGCUUCUCUGGAUGAGUUGCGAACGGGUGAGUAACGCGUAGGUAACCUGCCUUGUAGCGGGGGAUAACUAUUGGAAACGAUAGCUAAUACCGCAUAAUAGUAGAUGUUGCAUGACAUUUGCUUAAAAGUUGCAAUUGCAUCACUACCAGAUGGACCUGCGUUGUAUUAGCUAGUUGGUGGGGUAACGGCUCACCAAGGCGACGAUACAUAGCCGACCUGAGAGGGGGAUCGGCCACACUGGGACUGAGACAAGGCCCAGACUCCUACGGGAGGCAGCAGUAGGGAAUCUUCGGCAAUGGACGGAAGUCUGACCGAGCAACGCCGCGGGAGUGAAGAAGGGUUUCGGAUCGUAAAGCUCUGUUGUAAGAGAAGAACGAGUGUGAGAGUGGAAAGUUCACACUGUGACGGUAGCUUACCAGAAAGGGACGGCUAACUACGUG